Molecule: unclassified non-coding RNA, 204 nt
Filed under: Hevea brasiliensis (rubber tree)
Lineage: Eukaryota; Viridiplantae; Streptophyta; Magnoliopsida; Malpighiales; Euphorbiaceae
Source: RNAcentral
AAAAAUCAUUUAAAUGGGAAUGGGAAGUCACGGAAGAUAUUAAAUAUAUUAUCGAUCAAGUUUUAGACAUUUUCUCCAGCAAUCAGUACAAUUAGAUUGACCAAUAACUUGUGUAUUUUGCAUGAGACAGUCACUCAACACCUAUUCAUAGGAUAAUCAAUUUAAAACAAAAUAUUGUAUAAGCUACAAGAAAAAAAAAAGGAA